GGCAAGAUGGCCGAGCGGUCCAAGGCGCCACGUUAAGGUUAACCUUGAUUACAAUCACCUCCAUUCCUCUCCACAAGAGAAGAAGGCUUGAUUCCGUGGUCCGAAAGGGCGUGGGUUCGAAUCCCACUCUUGUCA
Molecule: non-coding RNA, 135 nt
Organism: Rhypophila decipiens
Lineage: Eukaryota; Fungi; Ascomycota; Sordariomycetes; Sordariales; Naviculisporaceae
Source: the annotation of a GenBank genome assembly